RNAcentral lists this ribosomal RNA (253 nucleotides) under uncultured bacterium. RNAcentral's name for it is "partial 16S ribosomal RNA". It matches the Rfam family "Bacterial small subunit ribosomal RNA", at positions 524 to 776 of the family's 1533-position model. The record is from RNAcentral.
UACGGAGGGUGCAAGCGUUAUCCGGAUUUACUGGGUUUAAAGGGUGCGUAGGUGGGUCUGUAAGUCAGUGGUGAAAUCUCCGAGCUUAACUCGGAAACUGCCAUUGAUACUAUAGGUCUUGAAUAUCCUGGAGGUGAGCGGAAUAUGUCAUGUAGCGGUGAAAUGCUUAGAUAUGACAUAGAACACCCAUUGCGAAGGCAGCUCACUACGGGAUUAUUGACACUGAGGCACGAAAGCCAGGGGAGCGAACGGG